Molecule: ribosomal RNA, 504 nt
Filed under: uncultured bacterium
Lineage: Bacteria
Description: partial 16S ribosomal RNA
Rfam family: Bacterial small subunit ribosomal RNA
Source: RNAcentral
AUUGAACGCUAGCGGCAUGCUUAACACAUGCAAGUCGAACGGUAACAGGCCUAGCUUGCUAGGCGCUGACGAGUGGCGGACGGGUGAGUAACGCGUAGGAAUUUACCCUGCAGAGGGGGAUAACCUGGGGAAACCCAGGCUAAUACCGCAUGAGCCCUAAGGGCGAAAGCGUGGGACCGCAACGCCACGUGCGAGAGGAUGAGUCUGCGUCGGAUUAGCUAGUUGGUGGGGGAAAGGCCAACCAAGGGGAAGAUCCGUAGCUGGGCUGAGAGGACGACCAGCCACACGGGGACUGAGACACGGCCCAGACUCCUACGGGAGGCAGCAGUGGGGAAUAUUGGACAAUGGGCGCAAGCCUGAUCCAGCAAUGCCGCGUGUGUGAAGAAGGCCUGCGGGUUGUAAAGCACUUUCAGUGGGGAGGAAGGCCUAAGUUUUAAUAGAGCUUAGGAUUGACGUUACCCACAGAAGAAGCACCGGCUAACUCUGUGCCAGCCGCCGCGGUAA